UUUCUCGAAUGGGGUACCUGCGGAAGGAUCAUUACCGAGUGCGGGUCCUUUGGGCCCAACCUCCCAUCCGUGUCUAUUGUACCCUGUUGCUUCGGCGGGCCCGCCGCUUGUCGGCCGCCGGGGGGGCGCCUCUGCCCCCCGGGCCCGUGCCCGCCGGAGACCCCAACACGAACACUGUCUGAAAGCGUGCAGUCUGAGUUGAUUGAAUGCAAUCAGUUAAAACUUUCAACAAUGGAUCUCUUGGUUCCGGCAUCGAUGAAGAACGCAGCGAAAUGCGAUAACUAAUGUGAAUUGCAGAAUUCAGUGAAUCAUCGAGUCUUUGAACGCACAUUGCGCCCCCUGGUAUUCCGGGGGGCAUGCCUGUCCGAGCGUCAUUGCUGCCCUCAAGCCCGGCUUGUGUGUUGGGUCGCCGUCCCCCUCUCCGGGGGGACGGGCCCGAAAGGCAGCGGCGGCACCGCGUCCGAUCCUCGAGCGUAUGGGGCUUUGUCACAUGCUCUGUAGGAUUGGCCGGCGCCUGCCGACGUUUUCCAACCAUUCUUCCAGGUGACCUCGGAUCAGGUAGGUCCCAUCAC
RNAcentral lists this ribosomal RNA (572 nucleotides) under Aspergillus niger. RNAcentral describes it as "eukaryotic LSU rRNA". The stretch from base 221 to 374 matches the Rfam family "5.8S ribosomal RNA". Lineage: Eukaryota; Fungi; Ascomycota; Eurotiomycetes; Eurotiales; Aspergillaceae. The record is from RNAcentral.